Populus trichocarpa (black cottonwood) is the source of this 604-nucleotide long non-coding RNA. RefSeq lists it as uncharacterized. The transcript has 3 exons. NCBI's taxonomy places the organism in Eukaryota, Viridiplantae, Streptophyta, Magnoliopsida, Malpighiales, Salicaceae. The record is from RefSeq and is a predicted model, not a curated record.
CGUGGCAACCAUAUUUCUCUUUUGACCUUUUGACUUCUUCCAGGAGUUACAUUCUUUCACUCCACACGUGAGAGAGGCGACGUUGGAGAAGAGGAAGCCGCAGAGGGAGCUCCUUGCCAUCGCGUCGGUCAUGGUGAAGAUUGUUACUGAAGGUGGCGCUUUUAGGAUAGGGUGGAGGCCGUGAAAAAAACAGGAAAGAAAAAGUAUUUGUGAAAGAUAUGGCUCCUCCGAAGGUUUACUUAUUUGAUGAGAUUGCCAAGCACAAGAAAACCGAGGAUUGCUGUCCGAAUAUCUCUGGAAAGGAAACUUGCUCUCCAUCCAGUAAGUGCGCAGGCAAGGGAAAACAAAAACAACUUGCAGAGGAUUGACAGAAUUUAUACAAGCUGAAACAUUUUGCUCCUUCAACUCUGAUCAUUUUGCCCCCCCACUUUCUUUCUUUUUUUUGCUUUUCACUGCCAAUGAGAAUUCUGCCAGUACCUAUUCAAAGAGUUCUGUCUAGGCCAAGCAUGGCUUCUCCAGCAUAUUUUGUUUUUGUUGCAUAUUAUGCUUUUAAGUUGUAUGAUACAGCCAAUGUCUCACAGAUUGCCUUGACGCUUCAUUGAAA